UGGAGGACUAGAGGUUAGGCCAUGGCGCUCUCACCACCGUGGCCCAGGUUCGAUUCCCGACACUCCCA
Molecule: non-coding RNA, 68 nt
Organism: Pangasius djambal
Lineage: Eukaryota; Metazoa; Chordata; Actinopteri; Siluriformes; Pangasiidae
Source: the annotation of a GenBank genome assembly